This 107-nucleotide ribosomal RNA is filed under the name Massilia consociata. RNAcentral also lists the same sequence under 5 other names. The record is from RNAcentral. Lineage: Bacteria; Pseudomonadati; Pseudomonadota; Betaproteobacteria; Burkholderiales; Oxalobacteraceae.
GACCAUAGCAAGUCGGUCCCACCCCUUCCCAUCCCGAACAGGACCGUGAAACGACUUUGCGCCGAUGAUAGUGCUGCAACCAGUGUGAAAGUAGGUUAUCGUCAGGC